Molecule: long non-coding RNA, 298 nt
Filed under: Carica papaya (papaya)
Lineage: Eukaryota; Viridiplantae; Streptophyta; Magnoliopsida; Brassicales; Caricaceae
Description: long non-coding RNA (CPAP_LNC009247)
Source: RNAcentral
UUCUUCUUCUUCUUUCAUUCCUUGACACAGCCAUGCUUGAUCACCGGCGAGAACCAGCCAGGAACCAUGUCUCUUCAUUCCCUGCAGUCAACAAAAGUCAGGCCAGUGCAGGAGAUCCAGAAUUUGACUUCUGGGCUGCACGUGAAACCCGGUGUUAUGGAAGUUCAAUCAGGGACUCCAACGGCGGUGAUACAGGGUUUCAAGUCCAUACACAUGGUGGAGAAGGCUUUGGCAGUUACUCCCCGUCCUUGUGGAAAACAAGUAAGUCAAGAAAUACAAUGCAGGAAUCCUCUCCCUU